AUUGAACGCUGGCGGCAGGCCUAACACAUGCAAGUCGAGCGGCAGCGACUUAACUGAACCUUCGGGGAACGUUAAGGGCGGCGAGCGGCGGACGGGUGAGUAAUGCCUGGGAAUAUGCCCUGAUGUGGGGGAUAACUAUUGGAAACGAUAGCUAAUACCGCAUAAUCUCUUCGGAGCAAAGAGGGGGACCUUCGGGCCUCUCGCGUCAGGAUUAGCCCAGGUGGGAUUAGCUUGUUGGUGAGGUAAUGGCUCACCAAGGCAACGAUCCCUAGCUGGUCUGAGAGGAUGAUCAGCCACACUGGAACUGAGACACGGUCCAGACUCCUACGGGAGGCAGCAGUGGGGAAUAUUGCACAAUGGGGGAAACCCUGAUGCAGCCAUGCCGCGUGUGUGAAGAAGGCCUUCGGGUUGUAAAGCACUUUCAGUAGGGAGGAAGGUAGUGUAGUUAACACCUGCACUAUUUGACGUUACCUACAGAAGAAGCACCGGCUAACUCC
Molecule: ribosomal RNA, 497 nt
Filed under: uncultured bacterium
Lineage: Bacteria
Description: bacterial SSU rRNA
Rfam family: Bacterial small subunit ribosomal RNA
Source: RNAcentral